UGGGGAAUUUUGGACAAUGGGCGAAAGCCUGAUCCAGCAAUGCCGCGUGUGUGAAGAAGGCCUUCGGGUUGUAAAGCACUUUUGUCCGGAAAGAAAUCCUCUGGGUUAAUACCUCGGGGGGAUGACGGUACCGGAAGAAUAAGCACCGGCUAACUACGUGCCAGCAGCCGCGGUAAUACGUAGGGUGCAAGCGUUAAUCGGAAUUACUGGGCGUAAAGCGUGCGCAGGCGGUUUUGUAAGACGGAUGUGAAAUCCCCGGGCUUAACCUGGGAACUGCAUUCGUGACUGCAAGGCUAGAGUAUGGCAGAGGGGGGUAGAAUUCCACGUGUAGCAGUGAAAUGCGUAGAGAUGUGGAGGAAUACCGAUGGCGAAGGCAGCCCCCUGGGCCAAUACUGACGCUCAUGCACGAAAGCGUGGGGGAGCAAAACAGGAUUCAGAUACCCUGGUAGUCCACGCCCUAAACGAUGUCAACUAGUUGUUGGGGAUUCAUUUCCUUAGUAACGUGAGCUAACGCGUGAAGUUGACCGCCUGGGGAGUACGGUCGCAAGAUUAAAACUU
Molecule: ribosomal RNA, 558 nt
Filed under: uncultured bacterium
Lineage: Bacteria
Description: partial 16S ribosomal RNA
Rfam family: Bacterial small subunit ribosomal RNA
Source: RNAcentral